Molecule: ribosomal RNA, 158 nt
Filed under: Sympoventuria capensis
Lineage: Eukaryota; Fungi; Ascomycota; Dothideomycetes; Venturiales; Sympoventuriaceae
Also listed under: 2 other names
Description: 5.8S ribosomal RNA
Rfam family: 5.8S ribosomal RNA
About the family: 5.8S ribosomal RNA (5.8S rRNA) is a component of the large subunit of the eukaryotic ribosome. It is transcribed by RNA polymerase I as part of the 45S precursor that also contains 18S and 28S rRNA.
Source: RNAcentral
AAACUUUCAACAACGGAUCUCUUGGUUCUGGCAACGAUGAAGAACGCAGCGAAAUGCGAUAAUUAAUGUGAAUUGCAGAAUUCAGUGAAUCAUCGAAUCUUUGAACGCACAUUGCGCCUCCUGGUAUUCCGGGAGGCACGCCUGUCCGAGCGCCAUUA